UUUAAAUAAGAAAAAUAUCUUAUUUUGGGAAAAUGUAUCUCACUUUUUGUUAAGUUUUUCCAGUUAAUAUCAAAACUGUAUUUGACCAGUAACAAGGAAAGGCAAUGGAUUUCAAAUCAUCCAAGUAAAGGAACAAGAUUGUUUUCCUUAUUUUAAGAUAGAGGGUUAUCUUAAAAUAAGAAUUAUGGUAAAUUUUGAACAUC
Molecule: long non-coding RNA, 203 nt
Organism: Thalassophryne amazonica
Lineage: Eukaryota; Metazoa; Chordata; Actinopteri; Batrachoidiformes; Batrachoididae
Exons: 3
Source: RefSeq, a predicted model, not a curated record